GGUGCAGCAGGCGCGAAAACUUUACAAUGCGGGAAACCGUGAUAAGGGGACGCCGAGUGCCAGCAUCAUAUGCUGGCUGUCCAGGUGUGUAAAAUACACCUGUCAGCAAGGGCCGGGCAAGACCGGUGCCAGCCGCCGCGGUAACACCGGCGGCCCGAGUGGUGAUCGUGAUUAUUGGGUCUAAAGGGUCCGUAGCCGGUUUGGUCAGUCCUCCGGGAAAUCUGACGGCUCAACCGUUAGGCUUUCGGGGGAUACUGCCAGGCUUGGAACCGGGAGAGGUAAGAGGUACUACAGGGGUAGGAGUGAAAUCUUGUAAUCCCUGUGAGACCACCUGUGGCGAAGGCGUCUUACCAGAACGGGUUCGACGGUGAGGGACGAAAGCUGGGGGCACGAACCGGAUUAGAUACCCGGGUAGUCCCAGCCGUAAACGAUGCUCGCUAGGUGUCAGGCAUGGCGCGACCGUGUCUGGUGCCGCAGGGAAGCCGUGAAGCGAGCCACCUGGGAAGUACGGCCGCAAGGCUGAAACUUAAAGGAAUUGGCGGGGGAGCAC
Molecule: ribosomal RNA, 550 nt
Filed under: uncultured archaeon
Lineage: Archaea
Description: bacterial SSU rRNA
Rfam family: Archaeal small subunit ribosomal RNA
Source: RNAcentral